RNAcentral lists this ribosomal RNA (516 nucleotides) under uncultured bacterium. RNAcentral describes it as "bacterial SSU rRNA". It matches the Rfam family "Bacterial small subunit ribosomal RNA", at positions 8 to 518 of the family's 1533-position model. The record is from RNAcentral.
AGAGUUUGAUCCUGGCUUAGGAUGAACGCUAGCGGCAGGCCUAAUACAUGCAAGUCGGACGGGAUCUCCCCUCGGGGGAGUGAGAGUGGCGCACGGGUGCGUAACGCGUAUGCAACCAACCCCGCACUGGGGGACAGCCGGUGGAAACGCCGGGUAAUACCCCAUGCCGACCCCUUGGGGGCAUCCCAUGGGGUCGAAAGCAGCGAUGCGGUGCGGGACGGGCAUGCGUCCCAUUAGCUAGUUGGCGGGGCAACGGCCCACCAAGGCGACGAUGGGUAGGGGAUCUGAGAGGACGGUCCCCCACACUGGUACUGAGACACGGACCAGACUCCUACGGGAGGCAGCAGUAAGGAAUAUUGGGCAAUGGGGGGAACCCUGACCCAGCCAUGCCGCGUGAAGGGGAAGUAGGCCCUACGGGUCGUGAACCUCUUUUAUGUGGGGACAACGGCGGAGUCGCGAACUCCGCGUGCGGGUACCACAUGAAUAAGCAUCGGCUAACUCCGUGCCAGCAGCAGC